This 445-nucleotide ribosomal RNA is filed under the name uncultured bacterium. RNAcentral's name for it is "bacterial SSU rRNA". It matches the Rfam family "Bacterial small subunit ribosomal RNA", at positions 385 to 849 of the family's 1533-position model. The record is from RNAcentral.
GAUGCAGCAACGCCGCGUGAGUGAUGAAGGCCUUCGGGUCGUAAAACUCUGUCCUCAAGGAAGAUAAUGACGGUACUUGAGGAGGAAGCCCCGGCUAACUACGUGCCAGCAGCCGCGGUAAUACGUAGGGGGCUAGCGUUAUCCGGAUUUACUGGGCGUAAAGGGUGCGUAGGCGGUCUUUCAAGUCAGGAGUGAAAGGCUACGGCUCAACCGUAGUAAGCUCUUGAAACUGGGAGACUUGAGUGCAGGAGAGGAGAGUGGAAUUCCUAGUGUAGCGGUGAAAUGCGUAGAUAUUAGGAGGAACACCAGUUGCGAAGGCGGCUCUCUGGACUGUAACUGACGCUGAGGCACGAAAGCGUGGGGAGCAAACAGGAUUAGAUACCCUGGUAGUCCACGCUGUAAACGAUGAGUACUAGGUGUCGGGGGUUACCCCCUUCGGCGCCGC